GAAUAUAGCGCUGGCGGAAUGCUUUACACAUGCCAAGUCGUGAGGGCAGCGCGGGGCAACCUGGCGGCGAGCGGCGAACGGGUGAGUAAUGAGCAUCGGAACAUGUCCAGUCGUGGGGGAUAACCUGGCGAAAGCCAGGCUAAUACCGCAUGCGCUCGAGAGAGGAAAGCGGGGGACCGUAAGGCCUCGCGCGAUUGGGUUGGCCGAUGUCCGAUUAGCUAGUUGGCGGGGUAAGAGCCCACCAAGGCGAUGAUCGGUAGCUGGUCUGAGAGGAUGAUCAGCCACACUGAGACUGAGACACGGCCAGACUCCCACGGGAGGCAGCAGUGGGGAAUUUUGGACAAUGGGGGCAACCCUGAUCCAGCCAUUCCGCGUGAGUGAAGAAGGCCUUCGGGUUGUAAAGCUCUUUUGUCCGGAGCGAAACGGUCGUGGUGAAUAUCCGCGACUACUGACGGUACCGGAAGAAUAAGCACCGGCUAACUACGUGCCAGCAGCCGCGGUAAUACGUAGGGCGCGAGCGUUAAUCGGAAUUACUGGGCGUAAAGCGUGCGCAGGCGGUUUCGUAAGCUUGAUGUGAAAUCCCCGGGCUUAACCUGGGAAUGGCAUUGAGGACUGCGAGGCUGGAGUGUGGCAGAGGAGACUGGAAUUCCUGGUGUAGCAGUGAAAUGCGUAGAUAUCAGGAGGAAUACCGAUGGCG
This 697-nucleotide ribosomal RNA is filed under the name uncultured bacterium. RNAcentral's name for it is "bacterial SSU rRNA". It matches the Rfam family "Bacterial small subunit ribosomal RNA", at positions 26 to 717 of the family's 1533-position model. The record is from RNAcentral.